Molecule: ribosomal RNA, 907 nt
Filed under: uncultured bacterium
Lineage: Bacteria
Description: bacterial SSU rRNA
Rfam family: Bacterial small subunit ribosomal RNA
Source: RNAcentral
ACGCUGACAGAAUGCUUAACACAUGCAAGUCUACUUGAACUUCGGUUUGGGUGGCGGACGGGUGAGUAACGCGUAAAGAACUUGCCUCACAGUUAGGGACAACAUUUGGAAACGAAUGCUAAUACCUGAUAUUAUGAUUUUAGGGCAUCCUAAGAUUAUGAAAGCUAUAUGCGCUGUGAGAGAGCUUUGCGUCCCAUUAGCUAGUUGGAGAGGUGACGGCUCACCAAGGCGAUGAUGGGUAGCCGGCCUGAGAGGGUGAACGGCCACAAGGGGACUGAGACACGGCCCUUACUCCUACGGGAGGCAGCAGUGGGGAAUAUUGGACAAUGGACCAAAAGUCUGAUCCAGCAAUUCUGUGUGCACGAUGACGUUUUUCGGAAUGUAAAGUGCUUUCAGUUGGGAAGAAAAAAAUGACGGUACCAACAGAAGAAGUGACGGCUAAAUACGUGCCAGCAGCCGCGGUAAUACGUAUGUCACAAGCGUUAUCCGGAUUUAUUGGGCGUAAAGCGCGUCUAGGUGGUUAUGUAAGUCUGAUGUGAAAAUGCAGGGCUCAACUCUGUAUUGCGUUGGAAACUGUAUGACUAGAGUACUGGAGAGGUAAGCGGAACUACAAGUGUAGAGGUGAAAUUCGUAGAUAUUUGUAGGAAUGCCGAUGGGGAAGCCAGCUUACUGGACAGAUACUGACGCUAAAGCGCGAAAGCGUGGGUAGCAAACAGGAUUAGAUACCCUGGUAGUCCACGCCGUAAACGAUGAUUACUAGGUGUUGGGGGUCGAACCUCAGCGCCCAAGCUAACGCGAUAAGUAAUCCGCCUGGGGAGUACGUACGCAAGUAUGAAACUCAAAGGAAUUGACGGGGACCCGCACAAGCGGUGGAGCAUGUGGUUUAAUUCGACGCAACGCGAGGAAC